This 380-nucleotide ribosomal RNA is filed under the name Chlamydomonas sp. RNAcentral's name for it is "partial small subunit ribosomal RNA". It matches the Rfam family "Eukaryotic small subunit ribosomal RNA", at positions 588 to 975 of the family's 1831-position model. Lineage: Eukaryota; Viridiplantae; Chlorophyta; Chlorophyceae; Chlamydomonadales; Chlamydomonadaceae. The record is from RNAcentral.
GCUCCAAUAGCGUAUAUUUAAGUUGCUGCAGUUAAAAAGCUCGUAGUUGGAUUUCGGGCGGUUGACGACGGUCCGCCUCUGGUGUGCACUGCCGUUCUUCCGCCUUUCUGUCGGGGACGUGCUCCUAGGCUUCAUUGUCUGGGACACGGGUUCGACGUGGUUACUUUGAGUAAAUUAGAGUGUUCAAAGCAGGCAUCGCCUUGAAUAUAUUAGCAUGGAAUAGCACGAUAGGACUCUGGCCUAUUUUGCUGGUCUGUAGGACCGGAGUAAUGAUUAAGAGGGACAGUCGGGGGCAUUCGUAUUUCAUUGUCAGAGGUGAAAUUCUUGGAUUUAUGAAAGACGAACUUCUGCGAAAGCAUUUGCCAAGGAUGUUUUCAUUA